Molecule: long non-coding RNA, 2219 nt
Filed under: Canis lupus familiaris (dog)
Lineage: Eukaryota; Metazoa; Chordata; Mammalia; Carnivora; Canidae
Description: lncRNA (ENSCAFG00000053504.1)
Source: RNAcentral
UGUCUCAUAGUGAAGACGAGGUCAUACCCUCCAACUUUUUCCAACCUCUCCAACCUAACAUCAUAAAAUGAGUAACAACUUACAGUUGGGUAGUACUUACAGCUGGUUUACCCUCUUGGUACUCACAGCAGUAGUAUUUGAGAGUUUUAUGACAGCCUUGGUUACUUACGAUGGUCUUGCUGCGUGUUGGCCUGUGGCCAGUGCCUGGUGUACAUUCACAGGCAUUAUUUCCUAUAACACAACAAACCACUGAGGUAAGUACCAUUAUGAUCCCCAUUUUACAAAUAAGAAAGUUGAGCCUUAGACAAGUUAUGUAACUUCCUCAGGAUCACAAAGCUUGUAGGUGGGCAGGUUCCAGGCCAACACUCUGAAUACCACACUGAACUGUUCUGUUUGCCAAAGGAUGGUAACUUGAAACCAACUUUCCUACAACCUCCCUCUAGGACUUUGCAGUUCCAGCUUUCCCUUUCUGACUCACCCACCAUAACCCUCUGAGUGUCUCCUCUUAACCAUGUUACCCUCCUCUACAAAGUCCUGCCAGACUGUCAGAUGUCCUGUUUGGGAUAUUUGGAAGGGAGUAUUUUAUAACACAGAAAAUUCCCUGAGAAGAAAUGAAAACAUCCCAUCUUCCAUCCAGAUAGACAGGGAUCCUAAAGAACAAGUACAUGUGUUCUGGCCUCCCCACUCCAAGAACAAAACCUCAGCAUGGAUACACAGUGAAUGCUCUUCUUUACUACUUCCAGUUGACUCGUCACACAGACGCUUUGUCAUGAGCAAUCAGUAAGUUAUCUAAGGUGUGGACCUUGUGCCCUUGUACCUGAGUCCCUGAGUUCAGUUCCCCGUCCAUUCUUCAUCAGUUCUAGACACAGGGAUAUCUAUAUUUUGCUCAAGGAAGAGUGGAUUAUUGACUUUACUCACUCCUUUUGUUCUAAUGUUUAACCUCCCACAGUUUUGUGGUUGGAAAGUUUCCUGAUAUAAUAAUAUUUAAAGCUCUCCUGUACAAAUAUUUUCUAGAAAGGCCUGUUUGGAGAUGUUUUGGUAAGAUUCAGGUGAGUUGUCAGUUUGAUGGCAUUUUAAUAUCAAUAAGAACUUUUAAAAAUGCCACGACCCCAGCUCAUCACUCUUAGUGCAGGGACUUUGCUCUCUGCACUCUGUUCCUUGACUCUCCCAGUACCCACCUUCUAAAGACAAGUGGGUUAGUAGACUACAGACUGUCGCUGCUCUGAGACAAAUAGCACCCACAGCACAGCAAAGCAAAGCAACAAUUCCCAGUGACCUCUUGGCACACUAAUUGUGGCUUUGACGCUCAUGGUCACAACACUGACCUUCCUGGGAAGGACCCAAGCUCAUUCUCCCCACAAGUGAGUGUGGCAUUCCACUGGCAUUUAAUGAAUGGAUGGAUAAAGGUAUGAAUGGAUUACAGCAUGUAUAAUAGACGUUGAAGGAGGUUUACAAUAAAACAGUUUAAAACUACUUUUACUAAAAUUAUCUUUAUUAGCAUCUGGAAGCCCACCAACCCUACCUUGGCCCCUGAAUAGAGAGAGUGGUUGAAGAAACUAUUCCUGUAAGAUUUUCCAAACCAUCCAUACCAGGUACAAAAAUCAAAACGCUGAAAAUAAAUGUUUAAACCAAAAAAUAAUUAAAAUGUCACAUCUCCACACAUUAUCCUGGCCACCCGGCCCUUCCUGUCAGCACCACACAUUCAGUGAAAUGAUGUCACAUGGCAUAAAUCCAUAAAGCCUGCCUAACCCAAGUGUAAGCUUCUUAAAGAUAAGAGAGAUUGUAUUGGCAUCUUCAGUCUUUGGCCCGGUGUGCAAUGUGCCAAACACUCAAGGUAAACUUGCCUGUGAGUUUCUCUUCUUUCUUUUUUUAAAAAAAAUUUUUAAGGGACGCCUGGGUGGCUCAGCGGUUGAGCAUUCGCCUUCAACCCAGGGCAUGAUCCUGGAGUUCCGGGAUCGAGUCCUGCAUCGGGCUCCCCACACAAAGAGGAGUUUCUCCCUCUGCCUAUGUCUCUGCCUCUCUCUGUGUCUUUCAUGAGUAAAUAAAUAAAAUCUUAAAAAAUAAAUAAAAUAAAAAAUUUUUAGAAUUUUAUUUAAAUUCAACUAACAUAUAGUGUAUCAUUGGUUUCAGAGGUAGAGGUCAGUGAUUCAUCAGUUGCAUAUAACAUUCAGUGCUCAUUCCAUCACUUGCGCUCCUUAAUGUCCAUCACUGGUUACCCC